This 489-nucleotide ribosomal RNA is filed under the name Triticum aestivum (bread wheat). Its description in RNAcentral is "partial small subunit ribosomal RNA". Lineage: Eukaryota; Viridiplantae; Streptophyta; Magnoliopsida; Poales; Poaceae. The record is from RNAcentral.
AUGGGGACUGGCUUGUCCCAGUCCGACGGCAACGGCGUGGAGGUCAACGCCAUGCGCGACCUGGAGAUCGGUCAAUCCACCAUAAUCAACAUGAUGCGGUCCGUGAUACCGUGUGCUUCGCCGCCGGCGGUAGCGCAUCUGGAGCGAGCGCUGUGGGGGCUGGGCUCCCUCACCCUUGUCCUGGCCCUCACCACCGUGCUUCACCUGCCGGCCGCCGGACCUGUCUUCGCCCGCUACAAGGCAGCAUACUAUGCUAUCCUUGCCUUUGUCCUCUUCGUAGCCGUGCCGGUGGAGCUGGCCACCGCCUUCUGCCUGCCGCGCUGCACCGACGGCCGCCGCCUCAUCGCCUUCGCCAGCCCUGCGCUUACGUGCUGCUACUCGUCGUCAUCUCCGUGGGUGGGAAUGCUGUUCUUGGAAGUUAGUCUUGUAGCAUUUCUACUUCAAGGAAAUGAAGCCAGUGGUUAUGGUGUCUUUGUCGCGCAACCUUAA